Molecule: ribosomal RNA, 366 nt
Filed under: Triticum aestivum (bread wheat)
Lineage: Eukaryota; Viridiplantae; Streptophyta; Magnoliopsida; Poales; Poaceae
Description: partial small subunit ribosomal RNA
Source: RNAcentral
AUGGCGCGGGUACCCGUCCUCCUCCUCGCCCUCUUCGCCGCGGCCCUCGCGGCCGCCCCGGCGGCGGCGCUGGGCGGCCGCGGCGCGCGGGUCGGCGGGUGGGGCCCCAUCCCGGACGUGACGGACGCGCACAUCCAAGAACUCGGCGGAUGGGCGGUGGAGCAGCACGCGAGGCUGACCAGCGACGGGCUGCGGUUCCGCCGGGUCACGCGCGGCGAGCAGCAGGUCGUCUCCGGCAUGAACUACCGCCUCUUCGUCGACGCGGCCGACGGCUCCGGCAAGAGCGCGCCCUACGUCGCCGAGGUGUACGAGCAGUAUUGGACCAAGACCCGCCAGCUCACCUCCUUCAAGCCGGCGGCCAACUGA